AGAGUUUGAUCAUGGCUCAGGAUGAACGCUAGCUACAGGCUUAACACAUGCAAGUCGAGGGGAAACGACAUCGAAAGCUUGCUUUUGAUGGGCGUCGACCGGCGCACGGGUGAGUAACGCGUAUCCAACCUGCCCACCACUUGGGGAUAACCUUGCGAAAGUAAGACUAAUACCCAAUGACGUCUCUAGAAGACAUCUGAAGGAGAUUAAAGAUUUAUCGGUGAUGGAUGGGGAUGCGUCUGAUUAGCUUGUUGGCGGGGUAACGCCACAAGGCGACGAUCAGGUAGGGGUUCUGGGAGGAAGGUCCCCCANAUUGGAACUGAGACACGGUCCAAACUCCUACGGGAGCA
RNAcentral lists this ribosomal RNA (350 nucleotides) under uncultured bacterium. RNAcentral describes it as "bacterial SSU rRNA". It matches the Rfam family "Bacterial small subunit ribosomal RNA", at positions 8 to 349 of the family's 1533-position model. The record is from RNAcentral.